CUCUGUGACUCCUACGGGAGGCAGCAGUGGGGAAUAUUGCACAAUGGGGGAAACCCUGAUGCAGCCAUGCCGCGUGUGUGAAGAAGGCCUUCGGGUUGUAAAGCACUUUCAGUAGGGAGGAAGGUAGUGUAGUUAACACCUGCACUAUUUGACGUUACCUACAGAAGAAGCACCGGCUAACUCCGUGCCAGCAGCCGCGGUAAUACGGAGGGUGCGAGCGUUAAUCGGAAUUACUGGGCGUAAAGCGCAUGCAGGCGGCCUGUUAAGUCAGAUGUGAAAGCCCCGGGCUUAACCUCGGAAUUGCAUUUGAAACUGGCAGGCUAGAGUCUUGUAGAGGGGGUAGAAUUUCAGGUGUAGCGGUGAAAUGCGUAGAGAUCUGAAGGAAUACCAGUGGCGAAGGCGGCCCCCUGGACAAAGACUGACGCUCAGAUGCGAAAGCGUGGGGAGCAAACAGGAUUAGAUACCCUGGUAG
Molecule: ribosomal RNA, 472 nt
Filed under: uncultured bacterium
Lineage: Bacteria
Description: bacterial SSU rRNA
Rfam family: Bacterial small subunit ribosomal RNA
Source: RNAcentral